RNAcentral lists this unclassified non-coding RNA (345 nucleotides) under soil metagenome. RNAcentral describes it as "partial contains 5.8S ribosomal RNA, internal transcribed spacer 2, and large subunit ribosomal RNA". The stretch from base 1 to 119 matches the Rfam family "5.8S ribosomal RNA", at positions 35 to 154 of the family's 154-position model. The record is from RNAcentral.
GAUGAAGAACGUAGCGAAAUGCGAUACGUAAUGUGAAUUGCAAAUUCAGUGAAUCAUCGAGUCUUUGAACGCACAUUGCGCCCCCUGGUAUUCCGGGGGGCAUGCCUGUCCGAGCGUCAUUGCUGCCCUCAAGCACGGCUUGUGUGUUGGGCCCCGUCCUCCGAUCCCGGGGGACGGGCCCGAAAGGCAGCGGCGGCACCGCGUCCGGUCCUCGAGCGAAUGGGGCUUUGUCACCCGCUCUGUAGGCCCGGCCGGCGCUUGCCGAUCAACCCAAAUUUUUAUCCAGGUUGACCUCGGAUCAGGUAGGGAUACCCGCUGAACUUAAGCAUAUCAAUAAGCGGAGGA